Molecule: transfer RNA, 66 nt
Filed under: uncultured Treponema sp.
Lineage: Bacteria; Pseudomonadati; Spirochaetota; Spirochaetia; Treponematales; Treponemataceae
Rfam family: tRNA
About the family: Transfer RNA (tRNA) molecules are approximately 80 nucleotides in length.
Source: RNAcentral
GAUUAGCUCAACUGGAUAGAGCGUUGGCCUCCGGAGCCGAAGGUUGUGGGUUCGAGUCCCGUAUCU